CUGGCUGCCAUUCUGCUUUUAAAGUGUGAGAAAAAAAGGGGAAUAAAAAAUAAAGGAGUUGGGGCAAUUUUUCCAGGGCAGGGCAGAAGGAUGCUGGGCAUCCCCGUGCUGUCCAGCAGGAGCGGUGCCAGUGGGAUGGGGAGUGGGGAGAAGGUAGGAGACUCAUUUCCCAGAGCAACAAAAAUUCCUCCUCUAAAUGCACAGUGAGGCUUUUCCCGUGGGAUUUUCACUUGAAAUCGGGGUUUGCACCACGAGCACUGCUGAGGGUGAGGAGUCCCCCCCCUGCCAAAAUUCGAGGCUCAGGAUUGUGCCGGUGCAUCUCCUACAUCCGCCCUGCACUGCUGGCAGCAUCCCAUGGAUCCCCCUCACUCCAUGCCCCCCUUGCCACCCGAUCGGAGAUGCUCACCCCAAUUUAACCCUCCCUGAUUUCCAUCCAUCCCCUGGCACGUUUGCAGAGCCCUUGCAAAACCAGUGGUCCAGGGCAGAGCUGGGGGCUUGUGGCCCCCCGUUUGCUGCCAGCCCUUGCCGAGUCCUGGAGCAACUUUCACCAAAUAUGGAAGGUUUUUUUGCCUCCGGUUUUCGGCACGCAGGCCACGGCCCAAGAGCGCAGCUUUCCAGAUGCUGAGGUCAGCCCAGCUCCUCUUCCCUCCCCCUGCUCCUUCCCUGCUGCCUCCCAGUGGGCUUGGCCCUGCACCCACCGGGACAGGAGUAAAUUCCACCCCCUCAACUCACUGGAAUCCCUGGAUCCCCCACCAGCAUCCUCUGCUGCUGGCACAAGCCUCACCCCGCAUCCCACUGCACCCCAAAAGCAACAGUUAUUAGGAUUUUGGGGGACAGGGAAGCCAGGGAGAAGGGUGCCCGAUGCUCGCACCCCUGGGCAUCACUACUGGAUGCCAGCCUGGCACAAGUGGCAGGUGGAGGUGCCCCAGCUGCCUGGUGGAAUGGGGCCAGAGGCCUUGGGAUAGCCAGGAGGGAGCCAGCCUGGCAUGCAGGGAGUGAUGGGCACCGGGAGGUUUUCGGUACCCAGGAGCUGAUGGGGAUCCAGGUCUCCACAUGGAGCCAGAAUUCCAAGCGCACCUGAAGCCAAGAGGUAUCCGGGAGUCAAAGGGCACCCCAGAGAUGAUGGAUGCUCAGAAGCUGAUGGUUGCUCAGGAGCUACCCUGGGGUCUGUGGGCACCCAGAAGCCAGCGGGGACUCCCUGGGUACCCAGGAGCUGAUGGACGCCCAGGAUCCAAAAGAGACUCUGGGCACCCAUGAAUGCACAAGCACAAAGGAGCUGAAGGACACCCAGGAGCCAACAGACACUCACAAACCUGUGGGCAUCCAAAGUCCAUGGGCACCCAGGAACUGAUGGAUGGCCAGCAUCCAACAGGUACCCAGGAGUCCAUGGGUGCCCAGAGGGGAUGGCGAUGCAGGAGCUGCUGGAUUUCUAGGAUCCAACAGAUGUCAGGAGUCUGUGGAGCACCCAGGAGCUGAUGGAUACCCAGGAGCUGAUGGAGGAGCGCAUGGCAUGAGAGAAGAGGAAACUGUACUGGCCAAACCCCAGGGCUACCUUGCUGCACCUUCCCUUCGUGUGAGGGCACCUCCUUCUCCAUCCUGGAUUUAGGAGAAGUCCCUGCUGCAGCUCUGAAGCUGUGGGAUGCCCCACGGGACCUGCUGUGACCAGGAUCUGCCAGAGCAGGACGUGCUGCUGAGGAAUUAAGGAAUGACCCCUGAGGAAUUAAAAGCCUCGUGCCCAUCAUCAGGCAUGGUGUGAAGGAGUUCUGCACCCAGGAUGGCUUGGUUGGCUCCAGCCCCAUGGAGAAUUGCUGGAAAGCACCCAGGACAAACAGUGCUGCCCCCGAGGGAGAACAGCAUGUUACCUCUCUCGGUGGGAUGUGCCAGAUGCAGCUCUGCCAAAGCCACCACCAAACCAUGGGAACUGGGAAAAUACCCUGGGGGAAUGAUGCUGCAGGGACACUCAACCCCAAGAGAAUAUCCCAGUACAGUCAGCUGGAGAUGGACACCAGGAUGGACAGACCAUCACAUGAUACGGUAUGGAUGCUCCCACCCCCCAAAAUUCCCAAGUGGAGGUGACCAUUUCCCCACACAGACUCACAACCUUGCAAUGCCGGCCCUUUCCAUUGAGUUAGGGAGGGGAAAAAACAUCAAAAAGUAAAAAAUAAAGCUUAUUUCUUCUCUGCUGCUCAGGGAGCACAUAAAUCCCUGUUCCCAGCCAGCCAUCCCAGUGCCAAGUUACAUCCAGUCCUCAGUGCUCUCACUUCGAAUUAAAGCAACUCCCUUGCAGGGCUCGGUCCCCCUCCGCCCCCCCAGGCAAAGCUGGUGCCAUCUGAAAUAAAACAUCCCAGCUCUUUACUAUCUAGUAAAUCAAAAGGAGAAAUAAAAAUCCUGGUUUCAGUUAGGAUAUGGCUGGAGCACAAAGAAAUCCCAAGGCAGGAGAGAGAUUUGAAGAUACAGCUUUGGUGUUGCCCUUAAAAGGGAAAAUUCGCACCCUCUUCCCCAGGGCCGGAGGGUUCAGGCAAGGUGAGGAGCAGCAUCCUCAGGGUCUGCUUCCACAGGGGGGGCCCAUCCACCUCGGGAGACGCUCGGCCAAACAGUUGGUAAAAACCCACCCAAAAUCAUCCCAAAGUUGGGAUCAGACCAGGGCUGGGGGUGUAUCGGGGUGUGGGGUCAGCAGAGCAUCCCUGAUACUGGGGCCAUCAGGUACCGGCCCCAGGACACCACAGGGAGCUGCCUGAGUAAGAAAUGUCUCUCCAUAAAUUAUUAAAAUAAACCAUAUAUUAUAUAAA
Long non-coding RNA from Corvus hawaiiensis (hawaiian crow), 2789 nucleotides. RefSeq lists it as uncharacterized. The transcript has 3 exons. The record is from RefSeq and is a predicted model, not a curated record. NCBI's taxonomy places the organism in Eukaryota, Metazoa, Chordata, Aves, Passeriformes, Corvidae.